UUAGCUUGGUUGGUGAGAGCAUGGUGCUAAUAACACCAAGGUCAAGGGUUCGAUCCCCGUA
Molecule: transfer RNA, 61 nt
Filed under: Corvus brachyrhynchos (American crow)
Lineage: Eukaryota; Metazoa; Chordata; Aves; Passeriformes; Corvidae
Also listed under: 1 other name
Rfam family: tRNA
About the family: Transfer RNA (tRNA) molecules are approximately 80 nucleotides in length.
Source: Rfam by way of RNAcentral